This 498-nucleotide ribosomal RNA is filed under the name uncultured bacterium. RNAcentral's name for it is "partial 16S ribosomal RNA". It matches the Rfam family "Bacterial small subunit ribosomal RNA", at positions 28 to 508 of the family's 1533-position model. The record is from RNAcentral.
GAUGAACGCUGGCGGCGUGCCUAAUACAUGCAAGUCGAGCGAACAGACGAGGAGCUUGCUCCUCUGACGUUAGCGGCGGACGGGUGAGUAACACGUGGAUAACCUACCUAUAAGACUGGGAUAACUUCGGGAAACCGGAGCUAAUACCGGAUAAUAUAUUGAACCGCAUGGUUCAAUAGUGAAAGACGGUUUUGCUGUCACUUAUAGAUGGAUCCGCGCCGCAUUAGCUAGUUGGUAAGGUAACGGCUUACCAAGGCAACGAUGCGUAGCCGACCUGAGAGGGUGGUCGGCCACACUGGAACUGAGACACGGUCCAGACUCCUACGGGAGGCAGCAGUAGGGAAUCGUCCGCAAUGGGCGGAAGCCUGACGGAGCAACGCCGCGUGAGUGAUGAAGGUCGUCGGAUCGUAAAACUCUGUUAUUAGGGAAGAACAAAUGUGUAAGUAACUAGGCACGUCUUGACGGUACCUAAGCAGAAAGCCACGGCUAACUACGUGC